UACGUAGGGACCGAGCGUUGUCCGGAAUCAUUGGGCGUAAAGAGCGUGUAGGCGGCCUGAAAGGUCAGCUGUGAAAACUCGGGGCUCAACCCCGAGACGUCGGUUGAAACCAUCUGGCUAGAGUCCGGAAGAGGAGUGUGGAAUUCCCGGUGUAGCGGUGAAAUGCGCAGAUAUCGGGAAGAACACCCGUGGCGAAGGCGGCACUCUGGGACGGUACUGACGCUGAGACGCGAAAGCGUGGGGAGCGAACAGG
Molecule: ribosomal RNA, 253 nt
Filed under: uncultured bacterium
Lineage: Bacteria
Description: partial 16S ribosomal RNA
Rfam family: Bacterial small subunit ribosomal RNA
Source: RNAcentral